UACGUAGGGUGCAAGCGUUAAUCGGAAUUAUUGGGCGUAAAGAGCGUGUAGGCGGCCCGAUUAGUCCGCUGUGAAAGUCCAGGGCUCAACCCUGGAAUGCCGGUGGAUACUGUCGGGCUAGAGUCCGGAAGGGGCGAGUGGAAUUCCUGGUGUAGCGGUGAAAUGCGCAGAUAUCAGGAGGAACACCGGUGGCGAAGGCGGUUCUCUGGGCAUUACCUGACGCUGAGGAGCGAAAGUGUGGGGAGCGAACAGG
RNAcentral lists this ribosomal RNA (253 nucleotides) under uncultured bacterium. RNAcentral describes it as "partial 16S ribosomal RNA". It matches the Rfam family "Bacterial small subunit ribosomal RNA", at positions 524 to 776 of the family's 1533-position model. The record is from RNAcentral.